RNAcentral lists this transfer RNA (87 nucleotides) under Aeromonas phage 4_4572. RNAcentral's name for it is "tRNA-Tyr". Lineage: Duplodnaviria; Heunggongvirae; Uroviricota; Caudoviricetes; Grimontviridae. The record is from RNAcentral.
GGAUGUAAUGAGCAAUGUGGUUAGCUUCAGCGGUCUGUAAAACCGUGCUCUCAGGGCCUCUAGGUUCGAUUCCUAGUACAUCCACCA